GAUGAACGCUGACAGAAUGCUUAACACAGAAUAACUGAUUGGGUGGCGGACGGGGGAGUAACGCGUAAAGAACUUGCCUCACAGCUAGGGACAACAUUUGGAAACGAAUGAUAAUACAUAAUACUGUGAGAGAGCUUUGCGUCCCAUUAGCUAGUUGGAGAGUGAACGUCUCACCAAGGCGAUGAUGGGUAGCCGGCCUGAGAGUGUGAUCGGCCCCGAGGUGACUGAGACACGGCCCUUACUCCUACGGAAGGCAGCAGUUGGGACUAUUGGACAAUGGACCAAAGUCUGAUCCAGUAAUUCUGUGUGCACGAUGCAGUUGUCUGAAUGUAAAGUGCUUUCAGUUGGGAAGCGGUACCAACAGAAGAAGUUACGGCUAAAUACGUGCCAGCAGCCGCGGUAAUUC
This 406-nucleotide ribosomal RNA is filed under the name uncultured bacterium. Its description in RNAcentral is "partial 16S ribosomal RNA". It matches the Rfam family "Bacterial small subunit ribosomal RNA", at positions 28 to 526 of the family's 1533-position model. The record is from RNAcentral.